UUGGCUGUCCCACAGUCUGGGCUCUGCGAGCCGGAUGCAAACCAGGCAGCACAAACGUCUGGUGCUGAAUCCCAAGAGGGCCCCUCCGGGGGCGCCAUCACAUGGGAACAUGACCCUCCACGCUGUGCACCCAACAGGGACCAGGCAUCUGGAGGAUGGUGAUGGUACGAGAAGCAGGGAGCUGGGCUCUCUGCUCAAUCCUGGCUCUUGUCUGGGAGCGCUGUCCCAGGCCUGGUGAUAUCAGGAGGUGACAGGUGCCAGCACUUCAAGCAGCUGCUACCAAUCAAUACGACAUACCACGAAGAAUGGGCCGUAUCUGCCACCUGCGUGGGGUUUCCUCUGGUACCAUCAGGAAUAUCACAUACCUGUUUCUCAAAGGCGGUGGGGACCAAGCGUCGCAACUCAGAAAGGCUGCUGUUGAUGCGGUCUCGGCGCCGCUUCUCUAUGAUCUAAAACACAAUGACAGGAAUUUACUCGUGGGCACUUCGCCAGUUUCCAACGUGCUUUGAGGGACAUGGAUUCAUAUCUUCCUUCACAAUAUUUUUGUGAGGGAGAGAAAUCUGUUCUUACUUAAUGGAGGAGGAAAUCGAGGCUCAGAGAGGGGCAAUGACUUGCUUAAGGUCACACAGUAAAGAAGUGCAAAGCUGGGAGCGGAACUCCAAUCUCUUGUCUUGGUCUGCAGGGGUGAUGUUCAAAAUGCAAAACGGCAGGUACAACAGGAGACCGGCCCAUUAGAACAGGGACACCAGCCACAGCUCCUGCAGGCCAAGGUUACCCCUUCAGUUGCUGGGUGGUGAAGAGGCAUUGCUUCCAGCUGGGGAGGCCUCUCAUUCACACAACCUCAUUCCCACCUCACCCUACUGGUAGCGGAAUACUGAUAGCAGGGCAGACAUUAUGACCCCUGUUUUACAGAUAAAGAUGAGGGCUGGAAGGAAUGGUUUGCCUAAGUGAGGGGCAGGGCUGGUCUCUGCCACAUUCCCGGUCUUUGGACCCCCAGGACAGAAGCACAGCUACAUCCUGGGGACAAAGGGCAGGGGGCUGGCAUGAGGCAGCAGAGAGCCAGCCAGGGAGCCUCCUUCUUCUGUUCCCCUCCCCCACCCCUCAGCACCCUGAGAGGAAAUGAAAGUUCUGGGCUUGGAGAGAAGAGGGGGAAGGCUGGAAUAAACAGUAAGGGCUAACUGUGA
This is a long non-coding RNA of Leptonychotes weddellii (Weddell seal), 1184 nucleotides long. RefSeq lists it as uncharacterized. Lineage: Eukaryota; Metazoa; Chordata; Mammalia; Carnivora; Phocidae. The record is from RefSeq and is a predicted model, not a curated record.